RNAcentral lists this long non-coding RNA (466 nucleotides) under Musa acuminata (dwarf banana). RNAcentral's name for it is "long non-coding RNA (MACU_LNC004827)". The record is from RNAcentral. Lineage: Eukaryota; Viridiplantae; Streptophyta; Magnoliopsida; Zingiberales; Musaceae.
GCGUGUGCAGCUUUUUCAGUUAACUGGUCUUUGCAUCGAUCAUCAAUCUGCUCGGGUCCGUUCGAUCCCGUUGCGUGGGUAGCUGCAGUCAAUAGUUAAUUCUUUAGAUAAUUAAAAUGGUGCACACGAAACUGGAGAACUGAUGCAGUUUCAUGCACAAUGCAGCCUUUUUCACUUCCAAGAAAAAUCCACAUUUGAUCCAAAAUACCAUGAGCCACUAAGAGACUAUCUUGUCUUAGUUCAGGGCUACCAUUAGUAUCGAAUUCAAGAAGCCAUUUACACAGAGUCAUCCUCCUGCAAGUGGAAAUAUUAUUUUGAUGAUUUAAAUCCUGAAAAGAAAGAUAAUGACGGGAAGAGUGAUCAGUGUUGUUACCUGGCCACACGUACACAUUCUAGACUGUUCGCCCUUGGUGCACAGCUUUCAAACCAGAAACACUUGGUAGCGGGUACUGGAGGCGGGGUGGGG